UAGGGAAUAUUGGACAAUGGGGGAAACCCUGAUCCAGCGACGCCGCGUGAGGGAUGACGGCCUUCGGGUUGUAAACCUCUGUUGUUGGGAAAGAAGCCGCCCGCAAGGGCGGUGACGGUACCCAACGAGGAAGCCCCGGCUAACUACGUGCCAGCAGCCGCGGUGAGACGUAGGGGGCGAGCGUUGUCCGGAAUCACUGGGCGUAAAGGGCGCGUAGGCGGUUACGUAAGUCCGGCGUGAAAUGCCACGGCUCAACCGUGGAAUGCCGUCGGAUACUGCGUUGACUUGAGGACGGUAGAGGCAGAUGGAACUAGCGGUGUAGCGGUGAAAUGCACAGAUAUCGCUAGGAACGCCGGUGGCGAAGGCGAUCUGCUGGGCCGUUCCUGACGCUGAGGCGCGAAAGCUAGGGGAGCGAACCGG
Molecule: ribosomal RNA, 420 nt
Filed under: uncultured bacterium
Lineage: Bacteria
Description: bacterial SSU rRNA
Rfam family: Bacterial small subunit ribosomal RNA
Source: RNAcentral